Molecule: small RNA, 4307 nt
Filed under: Pan troglodytes (chimpanzee)
Lineage: Eukaryota; Metazoa; Chordata; Mammalia; Primates; Hominidae
Description: retained intron
Rfam family: mir-21 microRNA precursor family (bases 3317-3388)
Source: RNAcentral
AUUUUAUUCUUUGUGCCACACCAGAGUACAGUAUCAGCUGAGCUGACCUUACUCUGAGGACUAACUCUUUUGCUGGAAGCGGUUCCUGAUUUACAGCUCUUGGUUUCUCCCAGACAUGUUGGUGGGAGAGAUUUUGCUUUUUAAGGGGUUGUUAGAUGGAGUAAAUUUUCUUUUUUUUUUUUUUUUUACUAAAAAGAGGUCACAAAAUUUCAGCAGUUCUCUGAUUUUUAUAUUUUAUUCCUCUUCCUAUCCAAUCCCUGCCUUUUGAGUCCAGGUGGUAAGUACAUUUUCUUUAACGUUUUUCCUGCUUUUCUUCCCAAAUGUGUCUUUUUCUUUGGGCUACUGUACCCUGCUUCCAGUGCUGUCCCCGGCAUAGGUCCAUCUCUGCAGAAGCCAUUUCAGGAGUACCUGGAGGCUCAACGGCAGAAGCUUCACCACAAAAGCGAAAUGGGCACACCACAGGUAAGACUUUAAUCCGGUUUCUUCUCCCCUCUGGGAAGUUUCGGGCUGAAAUUACAUUCACAGCUCUCACUCACAUUUUUAGGCAAAUAAGUGAAGUUGGUUUGCCAGUGUUCCUUGACAGAAGUUGAGCGUCUGUGUAUGCUCUACUGGGAAAUUUGUCUUUGUCUUAGACUAGAAAGUGUAACUUCUGUACAUCUUCUCCUAAAAACAAGGGUAGAGCCAAUGGAAAGUAAUGGUUCUGUUACAUAGAAUGAGUUGUUGCCUUGAUCUUAAAUGAUGUAUUGGUAGAUAUACUUCCCAAGUGGAUUAAAAAGUUAAAACUUACAGCAUAACAAAGUAGUAGACUUACUGAGGUGACUUGAAUAUCUCCUUUUGAUUUUCACUCUAUUUUUCUUUUCACCCAUGGGAAAAUGAUAAUUUUUUAAUAAACCAAGGCUCUUACCAUAGCUGAACUUUAAAACUUAGACUGUCUUUUCUGUAAACGAUUCUGAGGCAAAGGGAAAUGACUAGAAGAGGAUGAGUAAACAAUAACCUGAAAUGGGAAACUCGAGGGAAGCACAGGUUUUUUUUGUUUUGUUUUGUUUGGUUCGUUUUUUGUUUUUUGGGGUUUUUUUGAGACAGAGUUUCGCUCUCGUUGCCCAAGUUGGAGUGCAAUGGCGCGAUCUUGGCUCACUGCAACCUCCGCCUCCCGGGUUCAAGCGAUUCUCCUGCCUCAGCCUCCCAAGUAGCUGCGAUUCCAGGCACGUGCCACCACACCAGCUAAUUUUUUGUAUUUUAAUAGAAACAGGGUUUCACCGUGUUAGCCAGGCUGGUCUCAAACUGACCUCAGAUGAUCCGCCCGCCUUGACCUCCCAAAGUGCUGGGAUUACAGAUGUGAGCCACCGCGCCCGGCCGGAGCACUGUUUUUUUAAUGGCCUUGCACUCUUCUUAUGGACCUUUGCUGCCCUCAGUUGACCAAACAUGACAUCAGAAACAGAUACAUUUGUGUGUUUUAAAAACAGCUCCUAAUACUGGAACAAAAAUGUUUAACUGUCUUGACAAUACUCAUGAGUAUCUGCAUGGCGACUUCAGAGUUGAGUUUAAUCAAAGAGUUUAUUCUUAGGUCCUAGUAGAAGAGCUAACCUCACACUCAUCCCAUUCUAAACUAUGUGAUUCAACACUGAUUUUACAUCCAACAAAGUGAAAUCUUGAUAGUUAGGUGUAAAAAGGAGAGUAAUGGAGAUUUCAGAGUAGCUGGGGUUUCUUACUUUUCAUUUUUAAUUCUUUAGGUUUUGUAAGUUACACACUUCAAGCAUUAUAGAUGAUCCUCUUUUUACUACUGAAGCCUUUUUCAUUGCAUUGUUCUGCAUUUAUUUCUACAGGGAGAAAACUGGUUGUCCUGGAUGUUUGAAAAGUUGGUUGUUGUCAUGGUGUGUUACUUCAUCCUAUCUAUCAUUAACUCCAUGGCACAAAGUUAUGCCAAACGAAUCCAGCAGCGGUUGAACUCAGAGGAGAAAACUAAAUAAGUAGAGAAAGUUUUAAACUGCAGAAAUUGGAGUGGAUGGGUUCUGCCUUAAAUUGGGAGGACUCCAAGCCGGGAAGGAAAAUUCCCUUUUCCAACCUGUAUCAAUUUUUACAACUUUUUUCCUGAAAGCAGUUUAGUCCAUACUUUGCACUGACAUACUUUUUCCUUCUGUGCUAAGGUAAGGUAUCCACCCUCGAUCCAAUCCACCUUGUGGUUUCUUAGGGUGGAAUGUGAUGUUCAGCAGCAAACUUGGAACAGACUGGCCUUCUGUUUGUUACUUUCAAAAGGCCCACAUGAUACAAUUAGAGAAUUCCCACCGCACAAAAAAAGUUCCUAAGUAUGUUAAAUAUGUCAAGCUUUUUAGGCUUGUCACAAAUGAUUGCUUUGUUUUCCUAAGUCAUCAAAAUGUAUAUAAAUUAUCUAGAUUGGAUAACAGUCUUGCAUGUUUAUCAUGUUACAAUUUAAUAUUCCAUCCUGCCCAACCCUUCCUCUUCCAUCCUCAAAAAAGGGCCAUUUUAUGAUGCAUUGCACACCCUCUGGGGAAAUUGAUCUUUAAAUUUUGAGACAGUAUAAGGAAAAUCUGGUUGGUGUCUUACAAGUGAGCUGACACCAUUUUUUAUUCUGUGUAUUUAGAAUGAAGUCUUGAAAAAAACUUUAUAAAGACAUCUUUAAUCAUUCCAAAAUUGUGUCUGUUUUCUUGAGAGUUUUGAUUUUUUACUUUUAGCUUAUACCAGCUGAAUGGCAGCCUUGCCUAAUCCACCUACAACAAGAAUUUCUUAAGCUUUCUUUUAUUUGCAUGAGAGAGCCACUACCAAGGCAUGUUUUGUUAUGCUGAAACUGAGCUGCUGCAUACUGCUAAAUGGCACCUCUGGGAUUGGCCUACCUGGGGAUUUCUUGGUUUGUGAAAACAGGAGAGGAGAGCUAUCUCAUACAAGUGAAAGGAUACUGGAGAGAGAAAUUACCCAUUUCUAAAAAAAAACCACACUCUGUCGUAUCUGUGUUAAUGUUUUCUAGCAUGUAAUCUAGUUUCAACAGACACAAAUUUAUAUGUAACCUAGUUUUCUUGCCGUUCUGUGUUUUAUUCUUAAUGUGAUUUUUUUCCAUUGGGAUGUUUUUGAUUGAACUUGUUCAUUUUGUUUUGCUUGGGAGGAAAAUAAACAAUUUUACUUUUUUCCUUUAGGAGCAUUAUGAGCAUUAUGUCAGAAUAGAAUAGAAUUGGGGUUCGAUCUUAACAGGCCAGAAAUGCCUGGGUUUUUUUGGUUUGUUUUUGUUUUUGUUUUUUUAUCAAAUCCUGCCUGACUGUCUGCUUGUUUUGCCUACCAUCGUGACAUCUCCAUGGCUGUACCACCUUGUCGGGUAGCUUAUCAGACUGAUGUUGACUGUUGAAUCUCAUGGCAACACCAGUCGAUGGGCUGUCUGACAUUUUGGUAUCUUUCAUCUGACCAUCCAUAUCCAAUGUUCUCAUUUAAACAUUACCCAGCAUCAUUGUUUAUAAUCAGAAACUCUGGUCCUUCUGUCUGGUGGCACUUAGAGUCUUUUGUGCCAUAAUGCAGCAGUAUGGAGGGAGGAUUUUAUGGAGAAAUGGGGAUAGUCUUCAUGACCACAAAUAAAUAAAGGAAAACUAAGCUGCAUUGUGGGUUUUGAAAAGGUUAUUAUACUUCUUAACAAUUCUUUUUUUCAGGGACUUUUCUAGCUGUAUGACUGUUACUUGACCUUCUUUGAAAAGCAUUCCCAAAAUGCUCUAUUUUAGAUAGAUUAACAUUAACCAACAUAAUUUUUUUUAGAUCGAGUCAGCAUAAAUUUCUAAGUCAGCCUCUAGUCGUGGUUCAUCUCUUUCACCUGCAUUUUAUUUGGUGUUUGUCUGAAGAAAGGAAAGAGGAAAGCAAAUAUGAAUUGUACUAUUUGUACCAAAUCUUUGGGAUUCAUUGGCAAAUAAUUUCAGUGUCGUGUAUUAUUAAAUAGAAAAAAAAAAACUUUGUUUCCUAGGUUGAAGGUCUAAUUGAUACGUUUGACUUAUGAUGACCAUUUAUGCACUUUCAAAUGAAUUUGCUUUCAAAAUAAAUGAAGAGCAGCUGUCCUUCUUUCCUCUUUUAAGUGUUCAGCUGUGGCAUGCUCAGAGGUUCCUGCUGGAUUCCAGCUGGAGCGGUGUGAUACCCUUCUUUUUCAGCUGUUCGUGCCUUCCUUUCUUGUAUCCACCAAAGUGGAGACAAAUACAUGAUCUCAAAGAUACACAGUACCUACUUAAUUCCAGCUGAUGGGAGACCAAAGAAUUUGCAAGUGGAUGGUUUGGUAUCACUGUAAAUAAAAAGAGGGCCUGGGAAUUCUUGCGAUUCCAUCUCUA